This 2001-nucleotide long non-coding RNA is filed under the name Lactuca sativa (garden lettuce). RNAcentral's name for it is "long non-coding RNA (LSAT_LNC009316)". The record is from RNAcentral. Lineage: Eukaryota; Viridiplantae; Streptophyta; Magnoliopsida; Asterales; Asteraceae.
CAAUUUAUUGCUUCCUCUCCACCAAUAAUGCCUACUCCUUCAACUCGUUCUAAAAAAAUGGGAUUCCGUGUAAUAAGCUUCUGAUAUUCAGCAAUUCCUGUUAAAAAAUAAUCGCAAAAAUCCAAACAUUUAUCUAUCCACCCAUGAGGUAAAUCAGCAGCGAUUCCACCAAUACGAAAAAAAUUGUGCAUCAUUCGCAUACCGGUGGCAGCUUCGAAUAGGUCAUAUAUCAAUUCUCUUUCUCGAAAAAUAUAGAAGAAAGGAGUCUGCGCCCCAAUAUCUGCCAUAAAAGGGCCAAGCCAUAACAAAUGCGAAGCUAUAUGACUUAACUCCAACAUAAUGACUCUGAUAUAACUGGCCCUUUUAGGGACUUGAAAUACAGGGAAGAUUGGGGCAAUGAGGAGUUCGACGAUUUAGCCUCUUAAUCUAGCAUUGCUACUCUUCUUUGGGAACAGACCGACAGCNCACUAGACUGUUGAGCUAUAGAGUUUAGACUGACUGACUCCAUGGCACUAGUUAAUAGCUAUCAUAGAUCGUUCCGGCCAGUGAUCAUUUGGAAGAUCACUGUCCUCCACUUGCCUAACUACAAGAGAUUCUAAAUCGUAUCUCACCGUAUUCGUUCCAUUCGUUCGUCCUCACUCAUGUAACUUGCCUAGCAGUUGUAAGAGCAGCAACAACAGCCAGGAAAGUCUAGCAACACUUGCUUAGAGGUCUAGCAGCACUGACCGGGAGUCCGGUAGUCCGGAAGGCAACUAGCGAGCAGUGUUCGAAUUCUGAUCGCUUUUACGCGAGAAAGGGGGACCACCCUCUAAGCCUAAGCAGAGAUUCUUUAACCAGAAAGAAUUCGGUUCAGAUGUAGGAUACCUNGUCCCUAUGGACAAGGGGACAAGUGAAUCAUCGCUUUUGGGCGCAGGUUGUGUUCAGUACGAUCUUUAGCCUUUCUUCGUAGAAAAAGAUUCUAUAUCUAUUUUUUGUUUAUAGAUAGAUAUAGAAUUGAAUAUAUUAUUAUAUAUUCCCCUGUUCUUCCGAGAGUCUAAACUUUGUUGCACUGGUCCGAGCCCAAUAGAUCCCAUUUUUUUGAUCGCUCCACAUAGCUCACGACCCGGCACGAAGAAAUCUCUUAGAUGGGCGGAUGCGAAUCUGGAUCUAUCAACGGAGCAAUUCCAUUCCAGUCGUAGUCUCACUAAGACUACAGAAUGUUCUUGUGAAUUAUGACCUUCCCCCGGAAUGUGAGCAAAUAUAUCAUGUCGAUUGCUCAACCGUACUUUGGCUAUCUUACGUGGAGCUGAAUUCGGUUUUUUCGGUGUUCUCGAAGGUGGGAGAAAAGAUAAAACUAAAAUAAACCGGAUUUUUAAUCCAAACUUAAGAUUUAAGUUUGAAACUCAUUUUAUUAACUUCUUUUCGUUAACCCGAAAAAUGGAAUAGAUCUACGAGAAAUCUNGGCCUGUUGAAUAAUUUUUAUGGAUUCUGUCAUUUCACUGAUUCGUACUAAAUAACGAGCUAAUGAAUCCCCUUCGUUUUGCCAUUGGACUUCCCAAUCAAAUUCGUCGUAACACUCAUAAUGAUCAACUUUACGAAGAUCCCAUUGUAUUCCGGAAGCUCGUAGCAUGGGUCCCGACAAACCCCAAUUUAUUGCUUCCUCUCCACCAAUAAUGCCUACUCCUUCAACUCGUUCUAAAAAAAUGGGAUUCCGUGUAAUAAGCUUCUGAUAUUCAGCAAUUCCUGUUAAAAAAUAAUCGCAAAAAUCCAAACAUUUAUCUAUCCACCCAUGAGGUAAAUCAGCAGCGAUUCCACCAAUACGAAAAAAAUUGUGCAUCAUUCGCAUACCGGUGGCAGCUUCGAAUAGGUCAUAUAUCAAUUCUCUUUCUCGAAAAAUAUAGAAGAAAGGAGUCUGCGCCCCAAUAUCUGCCAUAAAAGGGCCAAGCCAUAACAAAUGCGAAGCUAUACGACUUAACUCCAACAUAAUGACUCUGAUAUAACUGGCCCUUUUAGGGACUUGAA